This 652-nucleotide ribosomal RNA is filed under the name uncultured bacterium. Its description in RNAcentral is "bacterial SSU rRNA". It matches the Rfam family "Bacterial small subunit ribosomal RNA", at positions 9 to 648 of the family's 1533-position model. The record is from RNAcentral.
GAGUUUGAUCCUGGCUCAGAACGAACGCUGGCGGCGUGCUUAACACAUGCAAGUCAGGGAGAAAGUCUCUUCGGGGAUGAUUAAACCGGCGCACGGGUGAGUAACACGUGAGUGACCUGCCUUUUAGACUGGAACAACUUACCGAAAGGUGAGCUAAUGCCGGAUGAGUUAUAUAAGUGCAUGUUUAUAUAGGAAAAGUUGGGGAGACCUGACGCUGAAAGAUGGACUCGCGUCCCAUUAGCUAGUUGGUAGGGUAAUGGCCUACCAAGGCGACGAUGGGUAGCCGGCCUGAGAGGGUGGCCGGCCACACUGGGACUGAGACACGGCCCAGACUCCUACGGGAGGCAGCAGUGGGGAAUUUUGCGCAAUGCUCGUAAGAGUGACGCAGCGACGCCGCGUGAAUGACGAAGGCCUUCGGGUCGUAAAGUUCUUUCGACAGGGAAGAAAAUGCCUAUAAGUAACUGUGUAUGUAUUGACGGUACCUGUAUAAGCAGCCCCGGCUAACUCCGUGCCAGCAGCCGCGGUAAUACGGAGGGGGCGAGCGUUGUUCGGAGUGACUGGGCGUAAAGAGCACGUAGGCGGUGUCGUAAGUCAUUAGUCAAAGACUAGAGCUCAACUUUAGUAAGGCUAGUGAUACUAUAAUACUAGAGUA